Molecule: ribosomal RNA, 440 nt
Filed under: uncultured bacterium
Lineage: Bacteria
Description: partial 16S ribosomal RNA
Rfam family: Bacterial small subunit ribosomal RNA
Source: RNAcentral
CCUACGGGGUGCAGCAGUGGGGGAUAUUGCACAAGGGGGGGAACCCUGAUGCAGCGACGCCGCGUGUGGGAAGACGGUCCUCUGGAUUGUAAACCACUGUCCCCAGGGACGACAAUGCCGGUACCUGGGGAGGACGCUCCGGCUAACUACGUGCCAGCAGCCGCGGUAAUACGGAGGGAGCGAGCGUUGUCCGGAAUUACUGGGUGUAAAGGGAGCGUAGGCGGGGAUGCAAGUUGGGUGUAAAAACUACCGGCUCAACUGGUAGUCGCACUCAAAACUGCAGCUCUUGAGUGAAGUAGAGGCAGGCGGAAUUCCUAGUGUAGCGGUGAAAUGCGUAAAUAUUAGGAGGAACACCAGUGGCGAAGGCGGCCUGCUGGGCUUUUACUGACGCUGAGGCUCGAAAGUGUGGGGAGCAAACAGGAUUAGAUACCCGGGUAGUC